CUCGUAGGUGGUUUGUCGCGUUGUUCGUGAAAUCUCACGGCUUAACUGUGAGCGUGCGGGCGAUACGGGCAGACUUGAGUACUGCAGGGGAGACUGGAAUUCCUGGUGUAGCGGUGGAAUGCGCAGAUAUCAGGAGGAACACCGGUGGCGAAGGCGGGUCUCUGGGCAGUAACUGACGCUGAGGAGCGAAAGCGUGGGGAGCGAACAGGAUUAGAUACCCUGGUAGUCCACGCCGUAAACGGUGGGUACUAGGUGUGGGUUUCCUUCCUUGGGAUCCGUGCCGUAGCUAACGCAUUAAGUACCCCGCCUGGGGAGUACGGCCGCAAGGCUAAAACUCAAAGAAAUUGACGGGGGCCCGCACAAGCGGCGGAGCAUGUGGAUUAAUUCGAUGCAACGCGAAGAACCUUACCUGGGUUUGACAUGCACAGGACGCCGGCAGAGAUGUCGGUUCCCUUGUGGCCUGUGUGCAGGUGGUGCAUGGCUGUCGUCAGCUCGUGUCGUGAGAUGUUGGGUUAAGUCCCGCAACGAGCGCAACCCUUGUCUCAUGUUGCCAGCGGGUAAUGCCGGGGACUCGUGAGAGACUGCCGGGGUCAACUCGGAGGAAGGUGGGGAUGACGUCAAGUCAUCAUGCCCCUUAUGUCCAGGGCUUCACACAUGCUACAAUGGCCGGUACAAAGGGCUGCGAUGCCGCGAGGUUAAACGAAUCCUUUUAAAGCCGGUCUCAGUUCGGAUCGGGGUCUGCAACUCGACCCCGUGAAGUCGGAGUCGCUA
This 771-nucleotide ribosomal RNA is filed under the name uncultured Mycobacterium sp. Its description in RNAcentral is "bacterial SSU rRNA". It matches the Rfam family "Bacterial small subunit ribosomal RNA", at positions 568 to 1337 of the family's 1533-position model. The record is from RNAcentral. Lineage: Bacteria; Bacillati; Actinomycetota; Actinomycetes; Mycobacteriales; Mycobacteriaceae.